This 253-nucleotide ribosomal RNA is filed under the name uncultured bacterium. RNAcentral's name for it is "partial 16S ribosomal RNA". It matches the Rfam family "Bacterial small subunit ribosomal RNA", at positions 524 to 776 of the family's 1533-position model. The record is from RNAcentral.
UACGGAGGGUGCGAGCGUUGUCCGGAAUCACUGGGCGUAAAGGGCGCGUAGGCGGCCUGAUAAGUAGGGGGUGAAAUCCUGCGGCUUAACCGCAGGGCUGCCUUCUAAACUGUCAGGCUUGAGCACAGUAGAGGCAGGUGGAAUUCCCGGUGUAGCGGUGAAAUGCGUAGAGAUCCGGAAGAACACCGGUGGCGAAGGCGGCCUGCUGGGCAGUUGCUGACACUGAGGCGCGAAAGCGUGGGGAGCGAUCCGG